AAGGAUCAUUAUUGAAGUUGCUGAGGGGUUGCUGCUGGCUUUCCGGAGCAUUGUGCACGCCUCUCUCGCUUUAUUCAUCCACCUGUGCACGAACUGUAGAUCUCAGAUACUUCUCAGCCUUCGGGUUGGCUCUGGAUGGUUGCUUGCACCCCCUAGGGGGCCGUGGCUGCCGUUCAACUUCCGAGAUCUAUGUCUUCUCACACAAACUACUCCAUAAUGUCAUAGAAUGAUUCAUGGUCGCACACGACCUUAAAUUGUAUAAUACAACUUUCAACAACGGAUCUCUUGGCUCUCGCAUCGAUGAAGAACGCAGCGAAAUGCGAUAAGUAAUGUGAAUUGCAGAUUUCAGUGAAUCAUCGAAUCUUUGAACGCACCUUGCGCUCCUUGGCAUUCCGAGGAGCAUGCCUGUUUGAGUGUCAUUAAAUUCUCAACUUCCGACGGUUUUAUUAUCGUCCGGAGGCUUGGAUUGGUGAGGGUUGCCGGCUCCUAAUGUGUGUCGUCGGCUCCCUUUAAAUGCAUUAGCGCUGUCUCAUGUCCGUGUCAGCGCCCCCUCGGUAUGAUAGUUUAUCUAUGCCGUGUCCGGGGCCUCGGAAAUUCCGACUUCGCUUCUGGCGGUCCCAUCUUUGGGACAAAGCUUUCUAUAUCUUGACUUGACCUCAAAUCAGGUAGGACUACCCGCUGAACUUAA
This 688-nucleotide ribosomal RNA is filed under the name uncultured fungus. RNAcentral describes it as "eukaryotic LSU rRNA". The stretch from base 266 to 419 matches the Rfam family "5.8S ribosomal RNA". The record is from RNAcentral. Lineage: Eukaryota; Fungi.